CUCAUCACCCAUGCUGUGGUGGUGGCCUACAUACGAAAUAGAGGAAGACUGGCACAGAUGUUAGCUCAGCGACAAUCUUCGUCAGCCAAAAAAAACCUUUCCACAAACGUGCUGUACUUCCGUAACUUGAGUUUUUCAUUCAACACAUUAUUUUUGACAGCCUUCCAUGUUCUAAAUAGUUUCUCCUUCAAUUCUAUGUAUUACUUAUUAAUUACCCUCUAAAUUGAAGACAGUGAAACCUGCCUCAGAGAGAAUUCUUGUGAGAUAAUAUAAAGUGCUUAUUGCAGUGCCUGACUCAUGAUGGGUGUUCGAUUUUUGAUAGAUACAUUAUUGUUAUAUAAUUAAUAUAUUGCUGCAAUUGCUAUAUUAUCAUAUAUGUUAUUAUAUAUAUUAGUUAUUGCUCUUUUCUGUGGGAAUAUGUAUUAUUUCAUCAGCUACAUUAUACAUUAGUAGUUUUCAAGCUAUAGUAAAAUCUGAGUUACACAGACCUUUGGGAAGUACCUUAUUCUAGAUACUUGAAUUUCUGGAUAGCUAAGAUUUAAUUUUUUUAUGGGCCAAAUUUAUUUCUAAACGUAUCUUUUUAAAUUCAAACAAACUAAAAGAAUGAACUUUAUUAAAAAUUUCAGCCAUUUCCAAAUUCUCUUCCAAACUUGUUAAUGAACAUAUCUGACAGAUUUUAAUCAGACAGCACAAAUUGUUCUGUGUUCUGCUUUAAAAUCUUCCUUCAUUUGUGCACUUCCACAUACAGACACAGCCAAUAGAAGUGCCAUUUUUCAUGACUGUUUGCUUCCCCGACUCCCAUAGUCAGAGGAGAGCAGCAGAGGAGAAAGGGCAGGAAGCAGACGGGCUCUGAGCCCUGCCCGGGAGCCCUGCUGGGAUCCUGAUCCCUCCGUGGGAGGGUCACACAGUCUCCUGGGCCAUCACUUUUUUCCACGGCAGCUGCUGGUGCCAGUUUUCAAACUGCUGCCAUCAGAGGGCAGUCUGGUCCUGUCCACCAGCACAGGUCCAGCGGUGGGGCUUCCGGGAACCCCAGUGCAGGAAACAACAGCAGGGUCAAGGGCAGGCACCAAGGGAGGCGGCCUUGGGUUUAUGACCAGCAUCUGUAACAGUUACAGUUCCCGGCCACCUCCACCCGGCUCCCACUGGUCACAAUAUGGUAAAUGACACAGGGGGUUGCUGGGGUUCCGAUGAACAUCACCCUGUCACUCCAGGAGCUUCUAGGUCAGAGAGCUCGUCCUUCCCACCACUGCACACAUCUGGAUGCAUCAGCAAGCUUGUGUGUGCACUGACCCUGUCGUUCCAGGAGCUUCUGGUCAGAGAGCUCCUUUCCCGUCACUGCACACAUCUGGACGCAUCAGCAAGCACGUGUGCGCACAGGCACUGUCGCUCCAAGAGCUUCUGGGUCAGAGAGCUCGUCCUUUCCCCACCACUGCACACAUCUGGAUGCAUCAGCAAGCUCGUGUGUGCACAGGCACUGGCGCUCCAAGAGCUUCUGGACAGAGAGCUCCUUUCCUACCACUAUACACAUCUGGACGCAUCAGCGAGCUCAUGUGUUCACAGGCACUGUCACUCCAGGAGCUUCUGGGUCAGAGAGCUCAUCCUUUCCUACCACUGCACACAUCUGGAUGUAUCAGCAAGCUCGUGUGUGCAGAGGCCCUGUUGUUCCAGAAGCUUCUGGGUCAGAGAGCUCGUCCUUUCCCCACCACUGCACACAUCUGGAUGCAUCAGCAAGCUCGUGUGUGUACAGGCACUGUAAUUGUUUUGUGGAUAUGAACCCUCACACAAGAAUUAACUUAUUUACAACAAUAUUUUAACAUUUCCAAAAAGCUGAACAUUUUGAAGUUCUCUAUUUCUGUUAUUUCUAAUUUUAUUGCAUUACGUCCGGAAAUGUAAUGUGUACUAAGUGUAGUUUUUGUUUGCAAAUUAUGGUCAAAAGUAUUUCUACUUCUUUGCAAGUCUGUUGACACACUUUUUUUUAACUUUGUUACCACAUUCUUUUGAGCAUAUUCAUACAGAUCUGUUAUGUGUUCAUAGUUUCUGGCGCUUAAAAAAUUCUCACCUUUCAUUCUCCCUUCAACUUUUCCUUCUAUGCCCUUUGCUCUAGAUUCGAUGAUCUGAUAUCUAUUUGUGAGUUAAGAUUGCUUUCAGUUCUAGAUACCAGAACAUCUCACAUGUAAGUCUCAACAAGAAGGUAGGAGAGGAGGCUGAAGGAGCAGGCAGGGGCCAGGUUGUCUAAGCUCUUAUUCUCUCACAAUGAGAAGCAGUGGCAGAAUUUGAAUGGGGAGGUGGGUGGUGCAUAUCCUUGCUCUUCAUGCUUUCAAGAGGUCACUCUGCAUGCUGAGUGAAGAAUGGCUGGAGGAGGGCAAGAGAGGAAGCAGGGAGACAGUUAGGAGACUGUCCUUGGCAGGAGACCAGUAAGAGAGAAAGGCAGCUGAACCGGGUUCUAGAAAUGGAGACAGCGAGAAGCUGCAAUCAGGAUGCACGCUGCAGGCAGAGCCAACAGGACUUGCUGUGAGACUGCGUGUGGGCUGAAAGAGUGAGAUAAGAAUAAGAACUUAACCUUGAAUUGAGCAAAACGGAAAUCAUUGGAGACCUGGCUACAAGCCACUUCAGCGAAGUGCAGUGGAGGAAGCAGGAAUGGAAUCGGUUCAGGAGAGAACGUGAGGAGAGGCCGCUUGAACGGAGCAGAGAAGCCGAUGGUAACUGGAGAGGAAUCUGGGGUCAGAGGAUGUCUGUCUGUUUAAUGCACAACCUUAGGGUGUCUUUGUAUGCAGAUGUUGGCAAAGAGUCAUCACAGACACAGGACUAAAGAACUCUGGAGGAAACCUGAAAGGGUUUCUCAGCCCAAUUUUGUGCAAAGUUACAACUUGAAUCUUUAAAAUAAAUGGGAUUUUUGCCAUCCUUUCAUAAUACAGGUACACCCCACAGAACACGUCCCCAGUUAAUGUUCUCCUGGAAGAAGACAUUAGUUUUUAAUACUUAAACUAAACAGCAGCUACUUGCUCAGUACGUCUUUCAGCUGAUAUUUAUAUAAACUUUACAUCAAGUCUUCAAAAAAUACAACAUUUUAAACUAAAUGGUUUGCAAGACAAGCUUCAUGUUGCUUCCAAAUACAAUUGGUAGGCCAUUGAUCAUGCUAGUCACUGCAAAGCUUUGGAAUAUCAGCAAGAUGUACAAUAUCUGAUGUUGCAGGUCUAGGAGAAGCCACUGCUGCUGCGAAAGCAACUGCAUGCUAACAAGCACAUAAAUGGAAGGUGACCAAGAAGGACUAUUUCAAGCAUUUUACAUCCUAACAUGGUAUCUAUAACUUAUAUCUAGAUGUCAUAUUGUGAUUUAGGAAAUUGGUAGGGUUUUUCCAGGACUUGCAAUGUCAUUAUUUUUGCUAUUUAAAAUAAGAGAAAACAGGUUCUCCUUAGCAUUUUUUCAGAGAAAGUGUGACAUUUCAGGCACAAAUUACUGACAGUUAUUAAUGGCAGAUGACUUCCAGUCUUGUUUUGGUUUUAAAAUUUUAAUUACUUACCUUGGAAACUACUUAACUUUGUUUCUUCCAAACGUUGUAGUAAAAUUGAUGCUCCAGAAAGUUGCACCACAGAUACUCUGCUGUUUUGCAUCCUCUCUGCACAGAACUGGGGUGGCCAAUACUCAUUUGACAAGCAGGUAGCAAUGCAGAACUUGGAAUUAUCAGAGAAACAAAAUGGGAAAAUGACUUAAGAGAAUCAUCAGUGUAACCCCCAAAAGCAACAAAUUAUUAAAAGUGGUUCCAAAGGGGUAUUUAAAAAGAGAUAUUAAAAGUGGUUCUAAAGGAGCCUAUUAUAGAGCAGAAAUGCUGAAGUUGUGUAUUACCUUUGUCGAUGCAAAUAAUCCAUAACCAACCUAUAAAUCAAAAUUGGGGGGAGUUUAUCAUGAGCCAGAGUGAGGAUUAUAACCCAGGAAGGCCUUAGAAGGUGUUCUGGAGAAGCGGUGGGUUUCAGUACAGUCUUACAUCUUUUUAGAACAAAAGAUAUAUUGAACACACCCGGGAUACAUUUCCAAAGAGGUAUUCAGUUGCAAAUUAGCAGGUCAACAUGACCAUGAUGCCAGGAAAGGGACUAAUAUGGGUGUUAUUAAUAGGGUGUCAACGAAAAUAACCCAUAAUCAAUCUAUAAAUGAAAAUUUGGGUGAGUCUAUUCCGAGCUAAAAUGUGAGGACCAUGGCCUGAGGCCUUUCUUCCCGAAGGAAGAAAGGGCACCAAAGAAGUGAGGUAUACAGAGCGGUUACAUACCCCCAAACAGGAUGUUUCACAUAUGAUUGAAAUGUCCCUUUUACAAUAGUCACAAGAUUGCCCUGUCGGCACAGCACUUGAUGGACACAGCAGGUAGUGGGUCUGCUAUCUUGGUGGGCGCAGCAGGAGGCAAGUCUAUUGUCUUGAGCUGGGAGGUCACAGGUGAGUGGAGCAAUCAGUUCCUAGCCUAAGAAAAGAUGCUUAAUCUUUAAGGAAAGCCAAAGUUGGGAGGGGGAGGGAAGUUGCACCUUUAUCUCAAGGGCCUUUGUUCUUGCCAUAGGGAAUGUCUAAAGCAGAUAUACAAUGCAUGCUCAACAGCCACCGUCAGACCCUUUUGGAAAAAGAAGGUCAGGCCAAAGAAUGGGGGCUGCCCACUGUGACGUUUCCUCCUUUUAUAACAUGGCUGGGGCAGUCCUUCCAAGAGGUCUGACCAAGGAGUGGACCGUUCAGCCAGCCGGAGUCCAAAGCCAGCUCUGGAGCGAGCCUGACCACCCGGUCCAGAGGGAGGAUCCUUGCAGCUAGAGGGAUGGAGGGGAUGGCGGGAAAGACGGCAGUGAAAAGGCAACUUCCAGGAUCUGCUGAGAACAGAGGACAACCACAUUCCCAGACAAGUAUCCAGUGGGCCAUUUUCACCAACCCAUUCAAAUGCAGAGGCCUCAAAAAACUCAGCAUACACUGAUGAGCCUAACUCCACUCGGGCCUGACUGGUGGUGUCUUAGAGACACAGUGGUGACCUGACCCCCCAGGAACAGACAGACUGUGCUCCAGCUUUGGGAGAGCCAUGUUCAAGGUGCGGAGCACCGGGCAUCAUUGGAAACCUGUCAGGUUUACCGUCUCUGCUUUGGAGGAAAGCUUGUCAAAGACAGCAGUUAGCGGUGUGGACCUUGACUUGCCUGGUCUGAUCUGUUGUAUUUUUCUGUCUGGAAAUGGAAAUGUUCAGGAGCACUUCCACUUCCACUUCGCCUCUUAAUAAUUGAUGUUCCUAAAUUCUGUAUGCCCUAAGAGACAGUUCCUUUGAUUGCUGGGGGGACCAAGAUAAACACAUCUAGGGAUAUUCACUUAUACCAUAUUUCCUUAAAAAUUAGUUAGAACAGUGAAAGGAGCAGGAUAUAAGAUGUACUGCUCAUUUGCAAAAGAUAAAAGGCAAGCGAGACCUUCCCAUUAAGAUGUUUCUGUUCAUUCGAUUCCCUGUCCUGUGCAUUUGGAUGCAAACCCAACAGACUUGAAUUGUCAAGUUUCUCUUUUCCUGAGAUUGGUAAGUUAACUUAGGGGUUUUAAGUGUUUUGUUGAAGGCUGUGGAGGAGUAGUUAGCAGCCCUCAUGAUUUAUCUUGUCUCAAAAAGCCUAGGUGCUGAUCUACAUGAAAGUGAGACCUUGUUUGUAUUACACCUUCUGAUAGGUUGUGUUUCUGCUUCCUGAGUGUCCUGUACCAUCAAAAAGACUGGAAAACCUGGUCAUGGGAACCAGAUCCUACUACUUUGUGAAAAAUUUCCCUCUUCCUGAAUUAAUUACAUGCAAAUUCAUCAACACCUUUGUAAAGAAAGGAAGAAAAACUGUGUGGUGUCUAUGAACAUGGCAAGAUGAGGAGC
RNAcentral lists this long non-coding RNA (5849 nucleotides) under Equus asinus (donkey). RNAcentral describes it as "lncRNA (ENSEASG00005035845.1)". The record is from RNAcentral. Lineage: Eukaryota; Metazoa; Chordata; Mammalia; Perissodactyla; Equidae.